Molecule: ribosomal RNA, 1363 nt
Filed under: Escherichia coli
Lineage: Bacteria; Pseudomonadati; Pseudomonadota; Gammaproteobacteria; Enterobacterales; Enterobacteriaceae
Description: bacterial LSU rRNA
Rfam family: Bacterial large subunit ribosomal RNA
Source: RNAcentral
UGAAGCAACAAAUGCCCUGCUUCCAGGAAAAGCCUCUAAGCAUCAGGUAACAUCAAAUCGUACCCCAAACCGACACAGGUGGUCAGGUAGAGAAUACCAAGGCGCUUGAGAGAACUCGGGUGAAGGAACUAGGCAAAAUGGUGCCGUAACUUCGGGAGAAGGCACGCUGAUAUGUAGGUGAAGUCCCUCGCGGAUGGAGCUGAAAUCAGUCGAAGAUACCAGCUGGCUGCAACUGUUUAUUAAAAACACAGCACUGUGCAAACACGAAAGUGGACGUAUACGGUGUGACGCCUGCCCGGUGCCGGAAGGUUAAUUGAUGGGGUCAGCGCAAGCGAAGCUCUUGAUCGAAGCCCCGGUAAACGGCGGCCGUAACUAUAACGGUCCUAAGGUAGCGAAAUUCCUUGUCGGGUAAGUUCCGACCUGCACGAAUGGCGUAAUGAUGGCCAGGCUGUCUCCACCCGAGACUCAGUGAAAUUGAACUCGCUGUGAAGAUGCAGUGUACCCGCGGCAAGACGGAAAGACCCCGUGAACCUUUACUAUAGCUUGACACUGAACAUUGAGCCUUGAUGUGUAGGAUAGGUGGGAGGCUUGGAAGUGUGGACGCCAGUCUGCAUGGAGCCGACCUUGAAAUACCACCCUUUAAUGUUUGAUGUUCUAACGUUGACCCGUAAUCCGGGUUGCGGACAGUGUCUGGUGGGUAGUUUGACUGGGGCGGUCUCCUCCUAAAGAGUAACGGAGGAGCACGAAGGUUGGCUAAUCCUGGUCGGACAUCAGGAGGUUAGUGCAAUGGCAUAAGCCAGCUUGACUGCGAGCGUGACGGCGCGAGCAGGUGCGAAAGCAGGUCAUAGUGAUCCGGUGGUUCUGAAUGGAAGGGCCAUCGCUCAACGGAUAAAAGGUACUCCGGGGAUAACAGGCUGAUACCGCCCAAGAGUUCAUAUCGACGGCGGUGUUUGGCACCUCGAUGUCGGCUCAUCACAUCCUGGGGCUGAAGUAGGUCCCAAGGGUAUGGCUGUUCGCCAUUUAAAGUGGUACGCGAGCUGGGUUUAGAACGUCGUGAGACAGUUCGGUCCCUAUCUGCCGUGGGCGCUGGAGAACUGAGGGGGGCUGCUCCUAGUACGAGAGGACCGGAGUGGACGCAUCACUGGUGUUCGGGUUGUCAUGCCAAUGGCACUGCCCGGUAGCUAAAUGCGGAAGAGAUAAGUGCUGAAAGCAUCUAAGCACGAAACUUGCCCCGAGAUGAGUUCUCCCUGACUCCUUGAGAGUCCUGAAGGAACGUUGAAGACGACGACGUUGAUAGGCCGGGUGUGUAAGCGCAGCGAUGCGUUGAGCUAACCGGUACUAAUGAACCGUGAGGCUUAACCUU